Molecule: RNA transcript, 1790 nt
Organism: Etheostoma cragini (Arkansas darter)
Lineage: Eukaryota; Metazoa; Chordata; Actinopteri; Perciformes; Percidae
Gene: thg1l
Gene name: tRNA-histidine guanylyltransferase 1-like
Exons: 7
Source: RefSeq, a predicted model, not a curated record
CAGCACGUGUUCGUGUGCCCUAACAUGGGAUGGAUGAUGGAUCCUACUGACACUGGAAUCGUUAAUCAACACAAGACUUUGUAUCAGCAGUAUUGAUACUUUGGGGAUUGAUCCGCCCACUCGCACCUAUGUUUAAUUAUUUUGGCUGUAAAUAUGACUACUCCAUACCCGCUGUGAAUGUGUGUGUGUGUGUGUGUGUGUAUAAUAUGUGUGUUGUUUUCAGGAGCACCCUCAUGCUGAUUGGAAAAGAUUUCAGAUUUGGUGGACGUGUCAGGUCGGGUGUUGUUCGACCUUUGGCCUGUCUUUUUACUGGUUUAAGCAACAUGGCCAAGAGCAAGUUUGAGUAUGUGCGCAACUUUGAAACAGAUGACACUUGCCUACGAAACUGCUACAUUGUUGUGAGACUGGACGGGCGCAACUUCCACAAGUUUGCAGAGCAGCACAAGUUCACAAAGCCCAAUGACAACAGAGCCUUGGGCCUGAUGACCCGGAGUGCGCGCUCUGUCAUGGAAGAACUCGAGGAUAUCGUCAUCGCUUAUGGUCAAAGUGACGAGUUCAGCUUUGUUUUCAAGAGGACCUCCACCUGGUUUAAAAGGCGAGCCAGUAAGCUCAUGACCCAUGUGACCUCCCAGUUCUCCUCCUCGUAUGUGUUUUACUGGAAGGAGUUUUUCGGGGAACAGCCCCUCUUGUACCCCCCAGGCUUUGAUGGACGUGUAGUCCUGUAUCCUAGCAACCACAACCUUAGAGACUACCUCAGCUGGAGGCAAGCAGAUUGUCACAUCAACAAUUUGUACAACACAGUGUUUUGGACUUUAGUACAAAAGGGGGGGCUCACCACAGUCCAGGCAGAGGAUCGCUUAAAGGGAACAUUAGCUGCAGACAAAAAUGAGAUCCUAUUCUCUGAGUUUGAUAUCAACUACAACACUGAACCUGCCCUCCACAGGAAAGGCACUACUCUCAUCUGGGAAAAACGAGAUGAAACUGUCCUCAAACGCAUGAAGCUGCCGAGCGGAGAGGAGAAGGACGUGGCUGCGACCCGCAGUAGGAGGAGGGUGGAGGCUCACCACUGCGACAUUAUCGGAGAGCGGUUCUGGGAGGAUCAUCCAAACGUCCUGGAGGACGACAACUGCUAACAGCUCCUGUAUUGCAAUAGGAGAAAAACCCUGAACGGAGUCUGGCCAGCCAUACGAGCAGGGCAGAUGAUAGAACAGCUUGUUUUUAUAGUAAGAAAGUAUUUCUAAGAUAUGAAUAAGCAGAGUAAAGCAGAAACCAAUAACUUGGCAGUAUACCUUUUUAAAAAGCAUGUGGCUUCUCUUAAGUACUUUAUGUAACCAGGAGUCAACAGCAAUUUGGAUUGGUCAGAGAGGCCUGCAUGUUUUAAUUGGAUCUCUAUAAUGAGGUAAUGAACAACUACACAGAACUACAAAUGUACAAACAAACAUGAUUACAAAAGUUGCUCUUUUUCUAAGACAUAAUCUGGGCACUUAGAUCAGUUCACUUGGACUAGUGCCGACACAUCAGUGACUCAACAUAUGGCUUCAUAGUAUAUUUGGUUGCUUAGUAACAAUAUCCUGUUGUGGAAAGUGGUCCAGUUAUUUAAAGACAGCAUGUGUUUACAUGCAGGACUUACACUUAUUCCUGUGUACUCAUGGGGCAUCCUUUAUAAAACCUGUUAUGCAAGAGGUUGCGUGAAGCAGGGUAAAAUUUGCUGUUGCAACAUUCCUUGCAAAAGUCUGGAUUUAUAAAGAAUUUCCAUGUGUAAAAUGUGCCCAGUUUUCCCGCAACCUUUU